This is a non-coding RNA of Salvia hispanica, 544 nucleotides long. The record is from RefSeq and is a predicted model, not a curated record. Lineage: Eukaryota; Viridiplantae; Streptophyta; Magnoliopsida; Lamiales; Lamiaceae.
AAAGUAUGAUUUUCACCUCGCUGAAAGGUUCAGCUUUUCCUUAUUUGCAGAUCUGAUGUAUAUAGUUUUGGGGUCAUUUUAUGGGAGCUGGCUACUCUGCGGGUGCCAUGGACAGAAAUGAACUCGAUGCAAGUAGUUGGAGCCGUUGGAUUUCAAGACAGACACCUUGACAUCCCGCCCAUGGUUGAUCCACUGGUUGCAGAUAUAAUACGCGAUUGCUGGAUUAGAAACCCACAGGGACGCCCUUCGUUUGCACAGAUUAUUGCUCGACUCAAACGCGUGCGUCGCCUUAGGGUGCAGAAAACAACUGAGAGUCGUGAAACCCAUCUCUGAUGUAACAAUAGCUCAGUACUCGUUCAAAGAACCAGCAGAGCAGGAGUGGGUUUUUAGAAAUCUUCAAAGGUACAGCUGCUAAGGAACAUAAUUGGAUUGGGUAGGCAGUGGUUCAUUGGCGAAGCUUGAUGCAGCCGGAAACAAAACUCGCCUGGACUUAAAACAAGUCUCAUAAGUGCAGCUGGGGGCAAACAUUAAAUUCUUGAGAAAA